CAGCCGCCGCGGUAAAACCAGCACCUCAAGUGGUCAGGAUGAUUAUUGGGCCUAAAGCAUCCGUAGCCGGCUCUGUAAGUUUUCGGUUAAAUCUGUACGCUCAACGUACAGGCUGCCGGGAAUACCGCAGAGCUAGGGAGUGGGAGAGGUAGACGGUACUCGGUAGGAAGGGGUAAAAUCCUUUGAUCUAUUGAUGACCACCUGUGGCGAAGGCGGUCUACCAGAACACGUCCGACGGUGAGGGAUGAAAGCUGGGGGAGCAAACCGGAUUAGAUACCCGGGUAGUCCCAGCUGUAAACUAUGCAAACUCAGUGAUGCAUUGGCUUGUGGCCAAUGCAGUGCUGUAGGGAAGCCGUUAAGUUUGCCGCCUGGGAAGUACGUACGCAAGUAUGAAACUUAAAGGAAUUGGCGGGGGAGCAC
RNAcentral lists this ribosomal RNA (420 nucleotides) under uncultured Nitrososphaerota archaeon. RNAcentral describes it as "bacterial SSU rRNA". It matches the Rfam family "Archaeal small subunit ribosomal RNA", at positions 459 to 879 of the family's 1478-position model. The record is from RNAcentral. Lineage: Archaea; Thermoproteati; Nitrososphaerota.